This is a long non-coding RNA of Danio aesculapii, 669 nucleotides long. RefSeq lists it as uncharacterized. The record is from RefSeq and is a predicted model, not a curated record. The transcript has 5 exons. NCBI's taxonomy places the organism in Eukaryota, Metazoa, Chordata, Actinopteri, Cypriniformes, Danionidae.
AUUUGAACUGCGUGCCUCUGUUUGCAACUCCAUGGUACUUACAAGAAGGAUAAUUGGAUAAUUUGGAUAUUUUCGACGAGGAUCUGACCAUGUGAAUGUCUUGAGAGGAGAAAGGGGUAACGUUAGCCUAAUUUAGCAUGCUAACGAUAGCUGAAGGACUCAUUUUCAGAUCACACGCAGAUGUCUGCCACCACUGCUGAUCUUGAAAAGAUGGGUAACCUGCCUGUGACUCCUCGUUUGAUCCUGCAUGGUCCAGAUGUUACUCCGGGCCAGUGGAUGAAACAAUGGAUGAUCAGCAUGGAAGGCAGAGUAAUCUGUGAGGGUGUGCAGCCACAUUUUUUUCUGGACUUGCUGCAGUGUUUUCUUUGUACAACAUCUUCAGUUUGCAGUACCAGGAGGAAACAGCAUGCACACUGGAAUUCCUUCAAAGAUGCUGUGCUGGGAUAAAUCCAGAGAAGGGAACCUGCAAGGGGAAGGCUGCGAGGGGAAAUGUGACAUCAAAAAAAAAAAAAAAACUGGCAAGACAGUUCAUGAGAAGACCAUGACCGUAAACCCCAAGGUUUCAAAUCUUUUAAAGAAACUAAUGGACUUUUUUUGAUGGGACUUUAUUUAAAAUGUAGCUAGCUGGCAACCCCCCCCCCCUACUUUUGCAAUAUUGUUAUAUAAACC